AGUGCAGCAGAGAGGACCCGUCGCCGGCCUUGUGCGAGGCCAUCGCCCAGAUGCUGAAGGAGCCGGGGAGAGCCAGCGGGGCGGAGGGGACAUGGCAGGAUGGUGCCGUCGCGGUGCUGGUGGACCUGCAGCGAGAGCAGCAGGAGGAGCUCAGCCGCACCCUGGAGAGUCUGUCUGGGAUCCCGAGUGACAGGGAGGGAGCCGCUUGCCCUGCCCUCUUUGAGAAACUCCUCGCCCGGCCGCAGGAAUCACCCCUGACGUCUCUGGUCCGGGAUUUGCGGCCUGUCUCUCCCCAGGAGCAGCAGCGCUCCCUCUGCCAACGGGGAACUGUGCAGACAGAGCGGGAGUUGCGCCUCGCCCAGGAACCGUCCCCAUCUGAAGGAGAAGCACUUAUUGCAGAUGAGAUACCUCAGAGAGAAGGCGAGCCUUUGCGGAGGAAACCGGAGACUUCUCAACACGAGAAGCAAAAAGGAUUUCAAGAUUCAGAGGCCCCUCAGGGCUCCGUAGCUCCUGGAGGCAACCGGAACCUCCCUCAGGACAAAGAGAUUCAGGCUGAACAAGGCCUUCUGCUCCAGGAGUUGAGUCCUGAUACCUUAGAGCCACAGGUUGCGCUGCUGAGGAAAUCAAAAUCCCUGGGGUCUCUGGAGUUCCUGUUGAGCCAGGAUUCGCUGCCCCAAGGAUUGUGGGAUGUGGAAAUCCCUCAGCAAGCACCACAUGGAGGACUGGGGAUGCCCCACCUCCCAGGAGCGCAGGGUAGGGAGAUGGAAGCCGUAGAUGCCCAGACCCAUGGUGACCUCCAGUAUAUUCCACAGAGGGAAACAGAAGCCCUUCAAGAAAACGAAAGGAGGGAAACUUCAGAUCUGGAACCUCAGCGGGAGCCCCUUGCGUCUGGAAACCAGAAGUCCCACACAGUGAGAGGAGUCAAAUAGCCUUUCACACCCAGGGCACACAGUUCCCCGAACCCCCAGAAUGGAGAGAGUCAGAGGCUACUCCACCGUGGGAGGUCCUUCAGACCCACAAAGAUGUCCACAAGGAGUCCCUGGAUCCAGACACGAGACAUGUCAAGAUUCCGUGCCAGCAGGACCUGAGGUUUCCAGAGCUGUCCCAACUCCAGAGGUUUCUCCGGAAGAAAUCAAAAUCUCUUGAACCCCAGCUUUUAUCCAGGGCAAGGACAUGGGGGUCACCACAGAUUCAGCAGGAGGUAUGUCGACCUCAGAAAUGUGGAUAUCCUCAAGCUGUUCAGCCCCAGGAAUGGGAAGUUGAGGGAACUUCACAGGCAGAGAAGGAAGGUCUGAGGAGCCAUGAUUUGAGGGUGGGUCCGCAGCGGCAAAAGUUCCCAGAAAGCCGUGAUGCACUCGUUCAGGUCCCAGAGCCGUUGGGUCUUGAGUCUGAGGAGAUGGCAAAGUUACAGGGUGUGAGGCAUCUGGAAGGCCUUCACAUCCCAGGAGGACCUCAAGGAAGGUCCCAUGGUUGCCUGCAGCAGGAACAGGAGCUGACCCAAGCUGAGGAGAAGACGGAGGGCUUGGAAACCCCACAAGGCCAGCAAGGACCAGAACUUCCCCAUCCUGAAACCCCUCCUCACUGCAGGAAUCUGUGGAGGAAGUCAAAGUCUCUUGAGCUGAGGAGGUCGUGGGCUUUUCAACCCCAGGAACUGAGGGAGCCGCACAUCGCUGGCACCCAGCCCCUGCACCCACAAAUGGGUGCAGGAGCUGUUCAAGCUCAAGAUUGCCAGGAACCAGAGGACUUUGAGGCGAAGAAAGCAAAGAAGGAACAACAGAGCCAUCAGGAAUUUUCUCAGGAGGCCUUUCAAGAGCAAGGGAUGGUCCAGAAAGGGGUGAGGGUUACUAGGCCUCAAAAUGUGAACGAAGCACAGGACUUUUCAUCUGAGGGUGCAAAGGGUGCCAUACUUCCACAAAGGCAGACACAGGUUCCUCAGUCCCCAGAGUGCCGAAGUCUAGAAUCUCCGCCUCUUCUGUGGAGAACUAUGUGGCAGAAGGCAAAAUCGUUUGAGAUGAGGAAAAAAGAUGUCUUUCUGAGUCCAGGGCCGCGACCAGAGGCUCCAAAGCUGAGCAUCCUUUAUCGUCAGAAGAUGAAGGAAACCUUGGUGGGACAAUCAGAUGUUCUCACCCAAGGACAGAGACAAGAAAUGUCUCAAGAAAUGAGGGAGGGGAAACCCGUCUAGCUGAAAAAUCUCCACAGAGAAGUCAACAAAUACUUCAAAGCAAGGAAAUUUCCAAGAGGGAGCUGGGAUGGCCCAGACACUCAGGAGAAUCACAGCCCUGUGACACGAAGAGUUUGGAAGAUGCACAGACUCCAG
Long non-coding RNA from Podarcis muralis (Common wall lizard), 2317 nucleotides. The record is from Ensembl. NCBI's taxonomy places the organism in Eukaryota, Metazoa, Chordata, Lepidosauria, Squamata, Lacertidae.